Molecule: ribosomal RNA, 446 nt
Filed under: uncultured bacterium
Lineage: Bacteria
Description: partial 16S ribosomal RNA
Rfam family: Bacterial small subunit ribosomal RNA
Source: RNAcentral
CCUACGGGUGACUGCAGUGGAGAAUCUUUCUCAAUGGGCGAAAGCCUGAUCCAGCGACGCCGCGUGAGGGAAGGAAGCCCUUCGGAUUGUAAACUCCUUUUAUGUGGGAGCAAAUUAAAAAAAGUGUACCUUUAUGUAUAGAGUCUACGAAUUAUGUGCCAGCAGCCUCGGUAAUACAGAGGUCUCAAGCGUUAUUCGGAAUCACUGGUCGUAAAGUGUGGGUAUGCUGUUUCGUAAGUCGUGUGUGAAAGGCGCGGGCUCAACCCGAGGACGGCAAGUGAAACUGGGAGACUAGAGUAAGGGAGGGGUAGGCGGAAUGCGUGGUGUAGCGGUGAAAUGCGUAGAUAUCGCGAAGAACACUGAUGGCGAAGGCGGGUUCCUGGACAUUAACUGACGCUGAGGCACGAAGGCGUGGGUAGCGAAAAGGAUUAGAUACCCCAGUAGUC